Molecule: ribosomal RNA, 253 nt
Filed under: uncultured bacterium
Lineage: Bacteria
Description: partial 16S ribosomal RNA
Rfam family: Bacterial small subunit ribosomal RNA
Source: RNAcentral
UACGUAGGCAGCAAGCGUUGUUCGGAAUUACUGGGCGUAAAGAGUGUGUAGGCGGUGCUAUAAGUCUGUUGUGAAAUCUCCCGGCUUAACCGGGAGGGUGCGGCGGAAACUGGAGUGCUUGAGGGUGGGAGAGGUAAGCGGAAUUCCUGGUGUAGCGGUGAAAUGCGUAGAUAUCAGGAGGAACACCUGUGGUGUAGACAGCUUACUGGACCACUUCUGACGCUGAGACACGAAAGCGUGGGUAGCAAACAGG